AGGGGCAUAGCUCAGUGAUAAAGUACAUGCCUAGCAUGUAUGAGGUCCUGGGUUCAAUCCCUAGUGCCACAG
RNAcentral lists this transfer RNA (72 nucleotides) under Cricetulus griseus (Chinese hamster). It matches the Rfam family "tRNA". From Rfam's summary of the family: Transfer RNA (tRNA) molecules are approximately 80 nucleotides in length. Lineage: Eukaryota; Metazoa; Chordata; Mammalia; Rodentia; Cricetidae. The record is from Rfam by way of RNAcentral.